RNAcentral lists this ribosomal RNA (402 nucleotides) under uncultured bacterium. Its description in RNAcentral is "bacterial SSU rRNA". It matches the Rfam family "Bacterial small subunit ribosomal RNA", at positions 355 to 774 of the family's 1533-position model. The record is from RNAcentral.
UGGGGAAUAUUGGACAAUGGGCGCAAGCCUGAUCCAGCCAUGCCGCGUGAGUGAUGAAGGCCUUAGGGUUGUAAAGCUCUUUCGCCAGGGACGAUAAUGACGGUACCUGGAUAAGAAGCCCCGGCUAACUUCGUGCCAGCAGCCGCGGUAAUACGAAGGAGGCUAGCGUUGUUCGGAAUCACUGGGCGUAAAGCGCAUGCAGGCGGACUGAUAAGUCAGGGGUGAAAGCCCGAGGCUCAACCUCGGAACUGCCUUUGAUACUGUCAGUCUUGAGUCCGGGAGAGGUAAGUGGAACUGCGAGUGUAGAGGUGAAAUUCGUAGAUAUUCGCAAGAACACCAGUGGCGAAGGCGGCUCACUGGCCCGGUACUGACGCUGAGAUGCGAAAGCGUGGGGAGCAAACA